Gorilla gorilla gorilla (western lowland gorilla) is the source of this 533-nucleotide long non-coding RNA. RefSeq lists it as uncharacterized. Lineage: Eukaryota; Metazoa; Chordata; Mammalia; Primates; Hominidae. The record is from RefSeq and is a predicted model, not a curated record. The transcript has 3 exons.
CACUUCGAAAUAGCAAGAGAGUGCACAAAGGUCAACUCUGUGAGCUCUAAGUCAAGAAGGAAAACGGGAAUCCACCAGAAUCAUGAAGGACAUCCUAGAUCCCAAGAAGGAGAAUGUGGGCAAACAGUCAACAUGACAGCAACCAGCUUAAAAAAGCCUGGAGUCAACAUGGGGAGAGGCUUGGAGAUGCUGUGAAGCAAAGACACUGGGAACAGCUGCAGACAUUUUCCCAGACCAGGAAAAAAACAGAGAGAGAAGAAGGAGAGCAAAGGGAGGAGGAGGAGGAGAAAAGAAGAAAGCAGAGAAGAAGGGACAGAGAAAAAAAGGAAGUUGGUUCUAACGUUUCUCUAACAACUGGCUUCAGUGAAACACUCCCACCUUGUGGAUUUUUAGGUUAUUGAAAUUAACCAGUCUUCUGGGUGCAGCACACCAACAUGGCACAUGUAUACCUAUGUAACAAACCUGCACUUUGUGCACAUGUACCCUAAAACUUAAAGUAUAAUAAAAAAAUAAAAUAAAAAGCUACACAAAUU